CUCUGGUUAACUGUUUCUAACCUACACUCCUUAUGAUAUUGUUACAUGCAUCUGAAAUAAAGAAUACAUUGAAAGGAGGACGGACAUGUAAGACAGACAUACUGAAUUGUGCAUCUCACUUUAAGCACUGUUAAUCCAUUGCAGUAUAAAUGUUCUAAGUAUUGGUAUUUUCUCUAGACACAGGCAGUGAGGAAGAAUGUCCUGCACCACCUUGCUCCCAGCCCACAGUGACAGUUCAAUUCCUGAGGAGGUUAGAUGUUCACCUGCUCAGACUCUGGAAUCACCAUCAGCAGCCCUUCGGAUGACCACCGGUCCUGACCAUCGUAUUUUCAUAGAUGAUGUUUAUCCCAGGAUUUUGUCGCAACACACAGGAAAAUGUCUCCUUCCUCAAAAGUGACUGAGAGUACAUCGAAGCAAGAUGGCCAGAAAAUCAGCUCCAGCAUCCGUGUGCAUGACAGACCUAUUCUAAGAUCCCGCCAAGCAUCUGGCAGCUGGUCUGAUGAAACGGUUUCUGAGACACAGUCAGAAACUACAUCAGACCAGAGUGAUAUUGAGAUCAGGAUCCAUGCAUUGAAGGACGAACUUAAGAAGCGCAAGUCC
Chiloscyllium plagiosum (whitespotted bambooshark) is the source of this 600-nucleotide non-coding RNA. The record is from RefSeq and is a predicted model, not a curated record. NCBI's taxonomy places the organism in Eukaryota, Metazoa, Chordata, Chondrichthyes, Orectolobiformes, Hemiscylliidae.